AUGGACGGCCUCGUCGCCUUCUCCCGCCGCCGCCGCCGCUGGCUCCUCCUCCCCGCGCUGGGGACGGCGUCGGCCUACGGCGCGUACAAGAUCUACCACCUCCCGGCCGUCGCCGCCCGCCGCCGCCGCCUCGUCCGCCUCGCCGCGGCCCUCGCGGCCUUCCUCGACGCCGCCGCUUCCUCCGCCGACGCGGCGGCCCUCGUCUCCUCCGACCUCGCCGACUUCGUCCGGUCCGACUCCGACGAGCUCCCCCGCAGCGUCGCGCAGCUCGCCAAGCUCGCCGCCUCCCCCGAGGUCUCCGCCACCGUGUCGGCGCUCUCCCAGGCCGUCGCGGCCGGGGUGCUCCGCGGCGUCGGCUCCGCCCCCGGGCCCGGCUCCGGCGACAAGGCGGCCCUCACGGACCGCCUCGUCGACAAGCUCUUCUCCGACUCCGGGGAGCGCCUCGCGUCCUCUGUCGCCGGGAGCUUCGCGCGCCACCUCGUAAUGGCCUUCUACUCCGCCCCGUCUCCUGCCGGGCAGACCUCCUCAUCGCCCGAUUGGGUCAACGUGGUUGCAACGGGAAAGGGCCACAAGGCGAUUAGCAGCUGGGUUGAGGUCCUCGUCGGCACCGCCGUGGGGGUGUUCAUUGACAAGACCAUACACAUCAAUACCUAUGAGCAGCUCUUCGAAGGGCUCACCAAUCCAACCCACGACGCCAAGGUCAAGGAAUUGCUUGUUUCAGUAUGCAACGGCGCAGUGGAGACUUUGGUGAAGACCUCUCACCAAGUUAUCUCCAAGGCCAAUAGUAGGUUGGAUAACAAUGCCAAUGGCAACAGCAAUGGAAGUGGCACUGGCAGUAGCAGAGCUGGGGAAGGGUGGGUGGAGACAGUCUCUAGCACAUUGGCAGUGCCAAGUAACAGGAAUUUUGUGCUUGAUGUUACUGGGAGGGUGACAUUUGAGACGGUGAGGUCAUUUCUUGAGUUUGUGCUGUGGAAGCUGCACGAUGGGGCGAGAAAGAGUGGGGACACCGCGUUCGACAGCGGACUGCGAGCCAUGAGGUAUAUGAGUGAUAAGUCUAUGGUUGUCGCCACGAUCUGCAUAACACUGUGCCUGCAUGUGUUGAAUGGAACUCGGUUCCUGGUUACCGCUUGA
RNAcentral lists this ribosomal RNA (1131 nucleotides) under Triticum aestivum (bread wheat). RNAcentral describes it as "partial small subunit ribosomal RNA". The record is from RNAcentral. Lineage: Eukaryota; Viridiplantae; Streptophyta; Magnoliopsida; Poales; Poaceae.